Molecule: ribosomal RNA, 460 nt
Filed under: uncultured bacterium
Lineage: Bacteria
Description: partial 16S ribosomal RNA
Rfam family: Bacterial small subunit ribosomal RNA
Source: RNAcentral
CCUACGGGAGGCAGCAGUGAGGAAUAUUGGUCAAUGGACGAGAGUCUGAACCAGCCAAGUAGCGUGAAGGAUGACUGCCCUCUGGGUUGUAAACUUCUUCUAUAAAGGAAUAAAACGAGGCACGUGUGCCCUUUUGCAUGUACUUUAUGAAUAAGGAUCGGCUAACUCCGUGCCAGCAGCCGCGGUAAUACGGAGGAUCCGAGCGUUAUCCGGAUUUAGUGGGUGUAAAGGGAGCGUAGAUGGGGUGUUAAGUCAGAUGUGAAAGUUUGCGGCUCAACCGUAAAAUUGCAAUUGAUACUGGCAGGCUGGAGUACAGUAGAGGUAGGCGGAAUUCGUGGUGUAGCGGUGAAAUGCUUAGAUAUCACGAAGAACCCCGAUUGCGAAGGCAGCUUACUAAACUGUGACUGACAUUGAUGCUCGAAAGUGUGGGUAGCAAACAGGAUUAGAUACCCCUGUAGUC